AGUGAACGCUGGCGGUAGACCUAACACAUGCAAGUCGAACGGCAGCACAGUAAGAGCUUGCUCUUACGGGUGGCGAGUGGCGGACGGGUGAGGAAUACACCGGAAUCUACUUUUUCGUGGGGGAUAACGUAGGGAAACUUACGCUAAUACCGCAUACGACCUACGGGUGAAAGCAGGGGAUCUUCGGACCUUGCGCGAUUGAAUGAGCCGAUGUCGGAUUAGCUAGUUGGCGGGGUAAAGGCCCACCAAGGCGACGAUCCGUAGCUGGUCUGAGAGGAUGAUCAGCCACACUGGAACUGAGACACGGUCCAGACUCCUACGGGAGGCAGCAGUGGGGAAUAUUGGACAAUGGGCGCAAGCCUGAUCCAGCCAUACCGCGUGGGUGAAGAAGGCCUUCGGGUUGUAAAGCCCUUUUGUUGGGAAAGAAAAGCAGCAGGUUAAUACCCCGCUGUUCUGACGGUACCCAAAGAAUAAGCACCGGCUAACUUCGUG
RNAcentral lists this ribosomal RNA (492 nucleotides) under uncultured bacterium. RNAcentral's name for it is "partial 16S ribosomal RNA". It matches the Rfam family "Bacterial small subunit ribosomal RNA", at positions 29 to 507 of the family's 1533-position model. The record is from RNAcentral.